AUGAGAGACAACCCUUUGCAACCAAUCUCGCUUUGUAGCGUUCAACGUUCCCAUUCGGAUUCAGUUUUGUUUUGAACACCCAUUUGCAUCCUACGGGUUUGACACUGAUGGGUAAUUCUACCAAAUUCCAAACGUCAUUUUUCUUCAUGGAUUCAAGCUCAUAAAUCAUUGGUUUAUUCCAUUCAGAAGACUAAUCACUGCUAAUGGCUUUUUUGUAAGAGAUAGGAUUAUUGAGCUUUCCGGGAUCCAUUUCAGUCAGGUAGGUAACAUAAUCAUCCCAAUUAGUAGGCCUUCUUUGCCUAGAUGACAACCUGAGUGGAUUAUCGGGUUCAGCGCUGUCUUGGUUUUGAGCGUUUGAUGUGCCUUCGUCAUGAGGUAUAAUGGGUUCUGAUUGUGGAGGUAAAUUUGGAGUUGGCGCAGUAGCUUCAGGUACAGUAGUUGCAUUAGGUACAAGAGGAGUAAUCGAAGUAAUGGUAAGCGACGAGUCUCUCCCCUCCGCGUCUUGUACUUCUUGUAAUUCUUCGUAAGGGUUGGUACUGCUCCCACUGACCUUGAAAUCCUCCAGGAACGCAGCACGCUUGGUUUCAACAAUACAGGUGACGUGGGAAGAACAAUAGAAAUGAUAACCCUUUGAAUUAUCAGGAUACCCGAUAAAGAAACAGGUAACUAUUUUAGGGUCAAGUUUCCUUAGGAAAGGAUCAUAAAGUUUUGCUUCAGCAAUGCAGCCCCAUACUUUCAUAUAUUUAAGACUCGGUUUCCUUCCUGUCCAAAGUUCAUAAGUAGUUUUAGGGACAGACUUAGAAGGAACUCUAUUGAGUAUAUGAACAGCUGCUUUUAACGCUUCAGUCUAGAGUAAUAAUGGUAAAUUAGUGUUGGCUAAUGAUGUGUGCGAGUGUGUAUAUAAGUUUAAGUAUAUUUUAAGCCCUUUUUACACGUUAGUCAAGUUUUAAAUUUAUAAAACACGAUAUUUUACUAACACCAAACACACAUAUGGGCAAGUGCACCCAUCGUGAGCGUAGUAUAGUGUUGGCAAGAUACCGAGGUCGUCCAAGGACACAAGAGCUUUUAGUACCGGUUUAUCCUCAACGU
Molecule: long non-coding RNA, 1089 nt
Filed under: Helianthus annuus (common sunflower)
Lineage: Eukaryota; Viridiplantae; Streptophyta; Magnoliopsida; Asterales; Asteraceae
Description: hypothetical non coding rna
Source: RNAcentral